RNAcentral lists this ribosomal RNA (1374 nucleotides) under uncultured Gammaproteobacteria bacterium. RNAcentral's name for it is "uncultured gamma proteobacterium 16S ribosomal RNA". It matches the Rfam family "Bacterial small subunit ribosomal RNA", at positions 30 to 1394 of the family's 1533-position model. Lineage: Bacteria; Pseudomonadati; Pseudomonadota; Gammaproteobacteria. The record is from RNAcentral.
UGAACGCUGGCGGCAGGCCUAACACAUGCAAGUCGAACGGUAACAGGAAGAAGCUUGCUUCUUUGCUGACGAGUGGCGGACGGGUGAGUAAUGUCUGGGAAACUGCCUGAUGGAGGGGGAUAACUACUGGAAACGGUAGCUAAUACCGCAUAACGUCGCAAGACCAAAGAGGGGGACCUUAGGGCCUCUUGCCAUCGGAUGUGCCCAGAUGGGAUUAGCUAGUAGGUGGGGUAAAGGCUCACCUAGGCGACGAUCCCUAGCUGGUCUGAGAGGAUGACCAGCCACACUGGAACUGAGACACGGUCCAGACUCCUACGGGAGGCAGCAGUGGGGAAUAUUGCACAAUGGGCGCAAGCCUGAUGCAGCCAUGCCGCGUGUAUGAAGAAGGCCUUCGGGUUGUAAAGUACUUUCAGCGGGGAGGAAGGUGUUGUGGUUAAUAACCACAGCAAUUGACGUUACCCGCAGAAGAAGCACCGGCUAACUCCGUGCCAGCAGCCGCGGUAAUACGGAGGGUGCAAGCGUUAAUCGGAAUUACUGGGCGUAAAGCGCACGCAGGCGGUCUGUCAAGUCGGAUGUGAAAUCCCCGGGCUCAACCUGGGAACUGCAUUCGAAACUGGCAGGCUUGAGUCUCGUAGAGGGGGGUAGAAUUCCAGGUGUAGCGGUGAAAUGCGUAGAGAUCUGGAGGAAUACCGGUGGCGAAGGCGGCCCCCUGGACGAAGACUGACGCUCAGGUGCGAAAGCGUGGGGAGCAAACAGGAUUAGAUACCCUGGUAGUCCACGCCGUAAACGAUGUCUAUUUGGAGGUUGUGCCCUUGAGGUGUGGCUUCCGGAGCUAACGCGUUAAAUAGACCGCCUGGGGAGUACGGCCGCAAGGUUAAAACUCAAAUGAAUUGACGGGGGCCCGCACAAGCGGUGGAGCAUGUGGUUUAAUUCGAUGCAACGCGAAGAACCUUACCUGGUCUUGACAUCCACAGAACUUUCCAGAGAUGGAGGGGUGCCUUCGGGAACUGUGAGACAGGUGCUGCAUGGCUGUCGUCAGCUCGUGUUGUGAAAUGUUGGGUUAAGUCCCGCAACGAGCGCAACCCUUAUCCUUUGUUGCCAGCGGUUAGGCCGGGAACUCAAAGGAGACUGCCAGUGAUAAACUGGAGGAAGGUGGGGAUGACGUCAAGCCAUCAUGGCCCUUACGACCAGGGCUACACACGUGCUACAAUGGCGCAUACAAAGAGAAGCGAACUCGCGAGAGCAAGCGGACCUCAUAAAGUGCGUCGUAGUCCGGACUGGAGUCUGCAACUCGACUCCAUGAAGUCGGAAUCGCUAGUAAUCGUGGAUCAGAAUGCCACGGUGAAUACGUUCCCGGGCCUUGUACACACCGCC